UAGGGAAUCUUCGGCAAUGGGGGCAACCCUGACCGAGCAACGCCGCGUGAGUGAAGAAAGUUUUCGGAUCGUAAAGCUCUGUUGUAAGAGAAGAACGUGUGUGAGAGUGGAAAGUUCACACAGUGACGGUAACUUACCAGAAAGGGACGGCUAACUACGUGCCAG
RNAcentral lists this ribosomal RNA (165 nucleotides) under uncultured bacterium. RNAcentral describes it as "partial 16S rRNA". It matches the Rfam family "Bacterial small subunit ribosomal RNA", at positions 355 to 511 of the family's 1533-position model. The record is from RNAcentral.